Diabrotica virgifera virgifera (western corn rootworm) is the source of this 448-nucleotide long non-coding RNA. RefSeq lists it as uncharacterized. NCBI's taxonomy places the organism in Eukaryota, Metazoa, Arthropoda, Insecta, Coleoptera, Chrysomelidae. The record is from RefSeq and is a predicted model, not a curated record. The transcript is spliced from 2 exons.
UUUACCUAAUAAUAAAAAAAUUAUUAAUUAUCUUCCUAUACCCAGCACUAUAAAAAUUAUUAAAGUGUGUAACAUUAUUCAUUAUCACUGUGUACUUAUUAAAAGUCACAGCAUAUCUUAGCAUUUUGACAUAAAGUCCUUAGUUAAGGACUACAUGAUAUUAUAGAUGCGAAGGAUGGAAGUGUCCAGAAAAUCUCGUUUGUAAAGAUUCUGAAGUUCUGGUUAAAAAUGGAAGUUACUGCCGCUGUUGCGAUGACUGCUAUAAAAAAAAAUAUGAAGGCGAAAUUUGCGCUUGCACGGAGAACUGUUGGGGUGUACGCUAUCCAUUACCACUAAAAUGUGUAGACGGAUUAGAGUGUAUCAAAGGAAAAUCCACCAAAGUCUCUUCAUCGAUCCAUUAACUAUGAACUUAAAUUUUUGUGUAGAUGAAUAAAAGUGAUAAAAAUGA